RNAcentral lists this ribosomal RNA (497 nucleotides) under uncultured bacterium. Its description in RNAcentral is "partial 16S ribosomal RNA". It matches the Rfam family "Bacterial small subunit ribosomal RNA", at positions 28 to 507 of the family's 1533-position model. The record is from RNAcentral.
GAUGAACGCUGGCGGCGUGCCUAAUACAUGCAAGUCGAGCGAACAGACGAGGAGCUUGCUCCUCUGACGUUAGCGGCGGACGGGUGAGUAACACGUGGAUAACCUACCUAUAAGACUGGGAUAACUUCGGGAAACCGGAGCUAAUACCGGAUAAUAUAUUGAACAGCAUGGUUCAAUAGUGAAAGACGGCUUUGCUGUCACUUAUAGCUGGAUCCGCGCCGCAUUAGCUAGUUGGUAAGGUAACGGCUUACCAAGGCAACGAUGCGUAGCCGACCUGAGAGGGUGAUCGGCCACACUGGAACUGAGACACGGUCCAGACUCCUACGGGAGGCAGCAGUAGGGAAUCUUCCGCAAUGGGCGAAAGCUUGACGGAGCAACGCCGCGUGAGUGAUGAAGGUCUUCGGAUCGUAAAACUCUGUUAUUAGGGAAGAACAAAUGUGUAAGUAACUAUGCACGUCUUGACGGUACCUAAUCAGAAAGCCACGGCUAACUACGUG